This 329-nucleotide ribosomal RNA is filed under the name uncultured bacterium. RNAcentral's name for it is "bacterial SSU rRNA". It matches the Rfam family "Bacterial small subunit ribosomal RNA", at positions 28 to 334 of the family's 1533-position model. The record is from RNAcentral.
GACGAACGCUGGCGGCGUGCUUAACACAUGCAAGUCGAACGAAGAGCGAUGGAAGCUUGCUUCUAUCAAUCUUAGUGGCGAACGGGUGAGUAACGCGUAAUCAACCUGCCCUUCAGAGGGGGACAACAGUUGGAAACGACUGCUAAUACCGUAUACGAUCCAAUCUCGGCAUCGAGACUGGAUGAAAGGUGGCCUCUAUUUAUAAGCUAUCACUGAAGGAGGGGAUUGCGUCUGAUUAGCUAGUUGGAGGGGUAACGGCCCACCAAGGCGAUGAUCAGUAGCCGGUCUGAGAGGAUGAACGGCCACAUUGGGACUGGAGCACGGCCCAA